ACAGUUUUGUUGGAGUUCCGCUGAACUGUGUCUUCUGGCUACUGAGAGCCUGGGGGUUUGGGGGUAGGUAUAUUUCACACAUUGUGGAAACUGUGACAUUGGAUUGUUCCGAGGGAAGUAAGGACAGGGCUGAAUGACUAGGAGAAAUAUGCUGGGAUUUGAAUUCUGUAUGACAUUAAAUAUGUAAACAGUUAUGACCAGAACAUACAUAAAAAUAGAAUUCUGACCCGCAAUGUGCAGCCACUAGUUCAGCAAACAAGCCCACAACUCCUAUAACAAUUGGCACCAAAUGACUAGGAUGUAAUCAAUGGCUGGAUAUAACUGCUGGCUUCCCAAAAGUGUGUUCCCCUUCCAAUUUAGGACCAAUGAGAGAAGGCCAAACAUGCUCCCCUCACCAAUCACAUAGGAAGCCCCCAUGUCUAGUUAUCCUGCCUCCAGCUCCUCCACGUCCACACCUCCAACUGGGGCACACCUGGAUCCUUCUCCUUCUCACUAGAAAGCUUCCCGCUUCUUUACCUGCCUGUGAGUCUCUGCCAAAGGCAAGUGAUAGUGGCUGGCUCCAUUGCUACAGAAAACUCUGGAUAAAUACCCUUCGCUUGUUCUCAUUUGGGUGGUCUUCCCUUAUUUCCAUACCUGGCUCCUUCUGAGACCUCAUCCAAAACAUGUUGCUGGGGACCUGGGGAGAGGGAAGGCAGACUCUGAACCUGAGCUCUUCAUUUUUCUCAGUGUUUGGGCAGAAGGCAAUUCUUCAUCCGGGCUGAUGCUGGCAACAUCUGGCAAGUUAGUCCAACAUCUUCAUCAUGUGUAGCAUAGAAGUAUGAUUGGGUAGGAGGGCUGUCGGCUGGCACAGAUUCUCCAAGACAUUGCUGUUUAAAGGUGUGUGUGUGUGUGUGUGUGUGUGUGUGUGUGUGAGUGUGAGUGCGUGCACGUGUUUUCCUGAAAUCAUUUACCUUUUUUAUAAGAAUAAAGCCCAUAAUGGCUGUCAUCACCUCAGAGUUUGAAGCUGUACAAGUGGCCUGCAUGAUGUGUUCUCCUUCCCAGAGAAUAUAUACAGAGUAUGUGCACAUUUUUCUGGCCCUAGGUCUGAAUCCUGGCUUUACCAUUCUCCAUCCCUGUGAACUUGGGCAAGUUACUUGGCCCCCCAGUGUCUAAAAGUCUCCCUGUGUUUAGUUCAUGGACAUUUCCAUGCUGCACGAUUGGUCUAAGUGUGGUCUACACACUACCUGUGUAGUGUGUAAAAUUCCCUGGGGUGUUAGUUAAGCAUACAGAUUCUGGGCCCCGCUCCAGAACUCAUGUAUCAGAGUCUCUGGCAGUGGGCAGAGAACUGCGAGACUGGCCAGCUCUGCGAGUGACCUCUCUACUCACUUGAGUUUAGGACUCUCAAGGUUAUUGCAUCUUGGGUAGUUGAGAGGUUAUAGUGAUGAGCAAGACCCAGUAUUCCUCCUCACCAAGGGCUAGUGUACAGAUACAUCUAAGGCAAAGGAAAUUGCAAAAACCAGAGAAACAGAAGAAACAAGAGCCAUGGGAAGAAGAGACGAAUUCCAAUCUGAGAAAUCCAGGAAGUUUGUAUGAAAGAAGUGUUUUGAAAGAGAGGUAGAUUUCAUAAUGCAGACAUGGAGAAAGCGAUGGAAGAGACCAGCAAGAGCAGAGACACAGUCUCUGUCAACUUUUGCUGAGUAAAAAACCACUCCAGUGGUUAGCUUCAAACACCAAUGUUAACUAUGGUGUCUGAGCCCACUGAUCAGCUGAAUGUUUCUACGCAUCUGGAUCAGGUAUGGUUGGUCUCUCAGGCUGGCUUGCUCAUGGGUCUGCAGUCAGCUGGGGGACUGGCUGGUCUAGGGUGGCCUCACUCGUACCCCUGGUGUCAGCUGGCUGGGCUGGGGUGAUAUGGGUGACAGAGCCAGUACCCUCUUCACCCCACAGGCUAGCCUGGGCUUCUGCAUAUGGCGGCACCAGGGUUCCAGGGGGAAGAGCAGAAGCCUGCCAGAACUUUUGAGGCUUAGACUUGCAACUUGCAUAUCCUCACUCCUGCUGCAUUCUUUUCGCCAAAUCAAGUCAUGGUCCAGCCCGGAUUUAGGGAGAAAUUGCCCCCAUGACUUGAUGGGACAAGCUGCAAAAUACAGAAAUCUAUCACAGAUUCCAAGGCAGGAAAAUGCUAAGGAUCUUCCUGGAACACCAGAGAGCAGGUGUUUGUGGAGGGCAAGGAGACACCCGAAGGGCCAUGACUGUGAGUUUCCAAAGCUUCACUGUAACCGGUCCCUCCCGUAGCUGUUGAAUGCCCACAGUUGGCAGCUGAGGCCCACCAGUGGGAAGGGGCAGUGGAGUGUUCCCCGCAUCUGACAGAAGGUGAGCAUUUUAUUUUAUUUUUAUUUUUAUUUUUUAAAUAUUUAAUUUAUUUAUUCAUGAAAGACAGAGAGAGAGGCAGAGACACAGGCAGAGGGAGGAGCAGGCUUCAUGCUGGAAGCCCGAUGUGGGACUCGAUCCUGGGACUCCAGGAUUACAUCCUGAGCCAAAGGCAGAUGCUCAACCACUGAGCCACCCAGGUGUCCCAAGGUGAGUAUUUUAUCAUUGACAUUCCUUAGAAUUAUUGGCACAGGGUGCCAAUAACAAAGCAGACUAAAUUUCAGUCACUCUCAGUGUAUUUUUGUUUUUUUAAUUCUCUACAGACAACAUACUCUCUUGUUGCCCGCUCGCAGGGCAGGCCACUCCCACUGUCACUCCCUCGUUGAGCUGCUGCCAGAGUUACACCCAGCAUCCAUAGGGUAGAGCCCCACAUGAGGAAUGGGUGGUGAGGAAGAGGAAGAUCUUUGUUCUCCAUCGCCGAGAGGCUCCACGUGGUCCAUGGGUCCAUGUAUUACAGUGCCACAGGGCCAUGCCAAAGCCCAGUUGGAUGCCAUUUGUCUAAGGGAUACAUAGUACUGUCCCUGCUUCAUGGAUGAGGGACCAGAAGGCCAAAGAAGCCUAGAGACUGGCCAAAAGGCACGUAGCUAGGACAGACACUGGAGGGUUGACUAUGGAGUUAGUAGAUCUGUAGAAAGAAGGGACCUUCUGUGGAGCAUUUGAGGACAGGAGAGCCUCCACUGAUCUGUUUUUUGGGGGGCAGCCAUGGUGCUAACCAUUCACGGUGGGAAACCUGCCCUCAAGGCAGGAAUAUGGUUAGCCACCAGCUCUGGGGAGAGGAGCCCUGGGUGGUCGUGCUUGCCAAUUGCUCUGAUGUAAUCACUCCCAGCAUGGCCACACUAUGGACAUGAUGUCACUGAAUAGAGCUGGGAAGAGAUGCACUCAGAGGGCUCUUGGGAACCAGCAGAAGGGGCUCCCGAACGCCGUGACUGAGGGCAUGAAUGAAGGAGAAGUUGAGGCCAGACACACCAUGGGAGGUAAGUGAUGCUGCCGGCUGGUCCGUGGGCAUCUGGCUGGUUCUGAAUGCCCUGUGGUCUCUUUGAUGGGCUGUGCCAUCUUUAGGGCUUCUUGGUCAUGCCUCUUCUGAAGGAUUUGAGCCAUUUGCAGCUAAGGAACUCCCGGCUGUGGGCAGUGGGAGGGGUUGCACACUGUUCUACUCUCAGGAGGGAAAGCAUCCAAGAUCUUCACAAGAGUGAGGCUUGCAAAACAACUGGUCUCAAUGGUCGAAGAGGCUCUGUGGGCCUGAUGGAUGAGCCAGAGGAGAAUGACGGCUUCCUGACCUUGGGGACACCAGAGGAGAAGUGCUGGGAAGGCAGUGAGGGACCUCCCACCUGAGCCUGGCUUCACGGUGUGGAGACCGAGCUGAAGGAAGGAGGAAAAUUUGCUAUCAACGAACCUGUGCAGAACAAUGGCAACCAGAUAAGACCCAAGGACCCAGGAAAAGGGCUUUGAUAUUGUUAUUACUAUUCUCCAGUGGCAUCUUAAGGACCUCAGGUGGAGGACAGUGCCUGGCACGUGGCAUCCACUCAGGCACUGCCAGCCACUGGGCCCUCCCGUGAAGACACCGAGACUGGUCUGUCUGGGAGAGGCUUUGCCUCAACUGAAGUCAUCCCAGGACCUGGGAGAGCACUGAGCCAUUCUCUGGAGGAGGCUCCGGAGGAGUGGGCAUUUUGCUGACAUUCCCCUGUGACUGAAGCCCCAUCCCAGCCCUCCCCACUUUCUCAAAAGUCCUCCCUAAUGGGAACAUUUUGUUAAAUAUAACGUCCACGCGCAUACUGCUCUCUGUUCAUGAUGUUCCUGCCACUUAGCCUGUCACUGGGUCCCCUCCCAGGCCUGGAAACUGUGCUGCUGAUGGGCCCCUGGGUGGGCCGCGCUCCUUCCAUUAAGUCUGAAAGAUAAGCUCUCCCAGGCCCUCUGCUGCCCCAGCAACCCUGUUUUUCUUUACGGUGGCUGCUCUGGAAAAGGGGAAGAGGCUGAGUUGAAAAUUCUUAUUCUGCUCAUUCCAUCCCGAUUCCCCCAUAAUUGACCUGGAGGCAAAGAGGAGCUCCAGCCUACACAGCCUACAGUCUGCCUUUUGAAAGGAGCCGGAGGGUUGCUAAAGAACUAUUGCUGUUUCUCAGAGUGGACGGCUGUGUAUCCUACGGAGAAGCCCAGUCUGGACUGUCCCCGGUGCGGAUGGCAGCUGGCGUGAUGGCACCCUAAUUGGAAGAGGAUCCUGUGACCUCCAAGCCAAUUAAAUGUUUCCUCAGGAGCCGGGAAGAGCUGUGUGAGGAAAACACUUGUAAUUGCUCUGGGUAGCAGGUGAACGGGUUUCUGCCGCCAGAAGUGGCUCCGGCGAUUGUAGGAGGUAUCGACCGUGGGUGUUGUCUGGGUCCGGAAAAUUGGACUCAGAAGCAAGAAAAGUGACAUUAGCAACCUGGCUUUUUCAACAGAAGCUCUAACGAGGCAGAGCGGGGCUGUUGGGGAAUAAUUACUUCCAACUAUCAGGAAAAGUUGCUUGGGCCAGAAAUAGGUGCCUUAGACACACAACUUUCAGAGGGACAGAGAAUUCAGGGCGGGGCGUGAGGUUUUGGGACCUCUACCCCCGGUCAUGCCACUGAACUGCAACCAAAACUGUCUCUUGAGACUGUUUCUUGGGGAUAGAGCUUUCUAGAUCUUGAUUGUGGUUGAUGGUCACACGACUAUAGGCAACUGUCAUUUCUGGCAUAAAACUGUAAGCUUCAAAGGGUUAGUUCUGCGACACAUAGAUUAUUCCUGAAUUGAAGCACACCCAAAACACCCGCACCCAGUGCCCCUUGAGCCUGCUCUCCUCACCCAGACCUGGGUGGGCCUCUGUGUGCUCUGAUGCUAACCUCAGGUCCUGCAGAAGUCUUCAAAGGAGGAGAAACACCAGCACAGGACUUUGAAGACUUGUGGACCUCUGAAACAGUGGUCUACCACUGUGGUUGCUCUCAGAACCCCUUGGGAGCUCUGACACCCCGGUCGCAGGCCCCACCCGGCCUGAGGAAGAAUCAGUAUGGUUGGGACCCAGCCCAGGACUUUUAAGCCCCUCCCCCUGCCCCAACCUCCACCUCCCGACAGUUUUGUGAACCACAGCUCUAAAGUUAUGAGGGGAUGGCUCGUAUUUUUCCAUCCUUCCGUAUCACAUCUUUGGAGAUAGUGUCAGAAGACUACGUUUGAGGUUCUGUGCCCUCCCCUCACCACCCCCACGCCAAUCCUGCAGGAUUUUCAUCUUGCUGCUGUGGUGGGUUGUCAACAGGCUCCUCCCUCCACUGCCCAAGGAUCCACUUGAAGCUUUGGCCCGGGGUUCCCACUGCCUCCCUGCACCUGCCACUCCUCCCUUGUCCCUGGGGCUGUAAGAACAUACCAUGCCCCCAGAGGAAGGAACAUGCAGUGGUGGGAAGACCUCUCCAGGGCCCUGGGCCACGGGCACAUCAGCCUCCCUGAACCUCAUCUCACCAGCAAGAUGUGGGAAAGAGAAAGGGGUCCCAAGGGAUCCACCUGGGAAACUCAAGCAGUCAAAGCCUAGCUCUCCCUCAUCCUGGCACCCUGGAGGGCAGGACCUCACAGCCUCUGGAUUGCCAGCGAGUCACUGCCCUGCUCCCGGAGGUCACGGUUUGCCCAAUGCGUUACUGCAAAGCCUAUUUCUCGUGGGAAAGGGGCUGAGCUAUUUUCAGGCGGGCAGGCUGAGUGCACUGCAGGCCUCCUCUGGAACAGCUGCCGGCUCCCGUGGGGAGGCUUCUGAAGUGACCCAGAUUUCUAAGCGAUCCUGUCCUCACAGAAAGGCUGUCACCAUGGCCAUGCCCACCUUCCCCCUGAGAGGAGGACCCUGAGCUGCCUUCCCACACAUUCUGGCACUUUCCAAUGCAGCCCUGACACCGGGGGCUCGGGCUGUCCCCUGUAGGGGUGAGAACUGGGGAGCUCAGUGGGGAGUGGUGUUGCAAU
This is a long non-coding RNA of Canis lupus familiaris (dog), 6345 nucleotides long. RefSeq lists it as uncharacterized. NCBI's taxonomy places the organism in Eukaryota, Metazoa, Chordata, Mammalia, Carnivora, Canidae. The transcript is spliced from 3 exons. The record is from RefSeq and is a predicted model, not a curated record.